RNAcentral lists this ribosomal RNA (739 nucleotides) under uncultured bacterium. RNAcentral's name for it is "bacterial SSU rRNA". It matches the Rfam family "Bacterial small subunit ribosomal RNA", at positions 56 to 824 of the family's 1533-position model. The record is from RNAcentral.
UGCAGUCGAACGAUUUACUUCGGUAAAGAGCGGCGGACGGGUGAGUAACGCGUGGGUAACCUGCCCUAUACACACGGAUAACGUACCGAAAGGUACGCUAAUACGAGAUAACAUAUUUUUAUCGCAUGGUAAGAAUAUCAAAGCUCCGGCGGUAUAGGAUGGACCCGCGUCUGAUUAGCUAGUUGGUAAGGUAACGGCUUACCAAGGCGACGAUCAGUAGCCGACCUGAGAGGGUGAUCGGCCACAUUGGAACUGAGACACGGUCCAAACUCCUACGGGAGGCAGCAGUGGGGAAUAUUGCACAAUGGGCGAAAGCCUGAUGCAGCAACGCCGCGUGAGCGAUGAAGGCCUUCGGGUCGUAAAGCUCUGUCCUCAAGGAAGAUAAUGACGGUACUUGAGGAGGAAGCCCCGGCUAACUACGUGCCAGCAGCCGCGGUAAUACGUAGGGGGCUAGCGUUAUCCGGAAUUACUGGGCGUAAAGGGUGCGUAGGUGGUUUCUUAAGUCAGAGGUGAAAGGCUACGGCUCAACCGUAGUAAGCCUUUGAAACUGAGAAACUUGAGUGCAGGAGAGGAGAGUAGAAUUCCUAGUGUAGCGGUGAAAUGCGUAGAUAUUAGGAGGAAUACCAGUUGCGAAGGCGGCUCUCUGGACUGUAACUGACACUGAGGCACGAAAGCGUGGGGAGCAAACAGGAUUAGAUACCCUGGUAGUCCACGCCGUANACGAUGAGUACUAGCUGUC